This 483-nucleotide ribosomal RNA is filed under the name uncultured bacterium. RNAcentral's name for it is "partial 16S ribosomal RNA". It matches the Rfam family "Bacterial small subunit ribosomal RNA", at positions 30 to 507 of the family's 1533-position model. The record is from RNAcentral.
AUUGAACGCUGGCGGCAGGCCUAACACAUGCAAGUCGAGCGGAUGAAGGGAGCUUGCUCCUGGAUUCAGCGGCGGACGGGUGAGUAAUGCCUAGGAAUCUGCCUGGUAGUGGGGGAUAACGUCCGGAAACGGGCGCUAAUACCGCAUACGUCCUGAUGGAGAAAGUGGGGGAUCUUCGGACCUCACGCUAUCAGAUGAGCCUAGGUCGGAUUAGCUAGUUGGUGGGGUAAAGGCCUACCAAGGCGACGAUCCGUAACUGGUCUGAGAGGAUGAUCAGUCACACUGGAACUGAGACACGGUCCAGACUCCUACGGGAGGCAGCAGUGGGAAUAUUGGACAAUGGGCGAAAGCCUGAUCCAGCCAUGCCGCGUGUGUGAAGAAGGUCUUCGGAUUGUAAAGCACUUUAAGUUGGGAGGAAGGGCAGUAAGUUAAUACCUUGCUGUUUUGACGUUACCAACAGAAUAAGCACCGGCUAACUUCGUG